This 406-nucleotide ribosomal RNA is filed under the name uncultured bacterium. Its description in RNAcentral is "partial 16S ribosomal RNA". It matches the Rfam family "Bacterial small subunit ribosomal RNA", at positions 30 to 526 of the family's 1533-position model. The record is from RNAcentral.
AUUGAACGCUGGCGGCAGGCCUAACACAUGCAAGUCGAACGAGUGGCGGACGGGUGAGUAAUGUCUGGGAAACUGCCCGAUGGAGGGGGAUAACUACUGGAAACGGUAGCUAAUACCGCAUACCAUCGGAUGUGCCCAGAUGGGAUUAGCUAGUAGGUGGGGUAACGGCUCACCUAGGCGACGAUCCCUAGCUGGUCUGAGAGGAUGACCAGCCACACGGGAACUUAGACACGGUCGAGACGCCUACGGGAGGAAGAAGUGGGGAAUAGUGCACAAUGGGCGCAAGCCUGAUGCAGCCAUGCCGCGUGUAUGAAGAAGGCCUUCGGGUUGUAAAGUACUUUCGACAGGGACGCGGUACCUGUAUAAGAAGCACCGGCUAACUACGUGCCAGCAGCCGCGGUAAUUC